Molecule: ribosomal RNA, 224 nt
Filed under: Triticum aestivum (bread wheat)
Lineage: Eukaryota; Viridiplantae; Streptophyta; Magnoliopsida; Poales; Poaceae
Description: partial small subunit ribosomal RNA
Source: RNAcentral
ACACUGCUGGGUGUGCUUGUCUAGCGUGCUCCCCUUUCCCCCUCUCUAAGUCUCUUCCUCCUUUCAUCGAAAUGACCUACUCUCCUUCCAAGUCUAUGUCCAUCUACUGUCUCUCUCUCGAGUUAUGUGUGGUGCGUGCGUGCGCGGGUGCGUCCCCGUCCAUUUCAUCGGAGAGCGCUGAGACAGGGCUACGACUGAACCGGGCUACUGAACAAGGAGGAGGA